CGCAAAUUGCGCUCUUUGGUAUUCCGAAGAGCAUGCCUGUUUGAGUGUCAUAUAGCCCUCACCCUGACAGUUUCUUGACUGUCUGUUUGGUGGUUUGGACGUCUGCCAGCCUCACGGCCCUCGGCUCGUCUUAAAUGCCUUAGUGGAAUUUGAAGUGAUUAAGUCUUCGCUUUUGAAUGUUCCACUCUAAGCCCCCCUUUUAUGACUCUGACCUCAAAUCAGGUAGGACUACCCGCUGAACUUAA
This 245-nucleotide unclassified non-coding RNA is filed under the name Derxomyces pseudohuiaensis. RNAcentral's name for it is "partial contains 5.8S ribosomal RNA, internal transcribed spacer 2, and large subunit ribosomal RNA". The stretch from base 1 to 50 matches the Rfam family "5.8S ribosomal RNA", at positions 105 to 154 of the family's 154-position model. Lineage: Eukaryota; Fungi; Basidiomycota; Tremellomycetes; Tremellales; Bulleribasidiaceae. The record is from RNAcentral.